AGUCCAGACUCCUACGGGAGGCAGCAGUUAGGAAUAUUCGUCAAUGGGGGAAACCCUGAACGAGCAAUGCCGCGUGAGUGAUGACGGUCUUUAUGAUUGUAAAACUCUGUUGUUAGGGAAGGAACCUUACUAUAGGAAAUGAUAGUAAGCUGACGGUACCUAACCAGAAAGCCCCGGCUAACUCCGUGCCAGCAGCCGCGGUAAUACGGAGGAUGCGAGCGUUAUCCGGAUUUAUUGGGUUUAAAGGGUGCGUAGGCGGAUUUUUAAGUCAGCGGUAAAAUGUCCGGGCUCAACCCGGGCCGGCCGUUGAAACUGGGGAUCUUGAGUGGGCGAGAAGUAUGCGGAAUGCGUGGUGUAGCGGUGAAAUGCAUAGAUAUCACGCAGAACUCCGAUUGCGAAGGCAGCAUACCGGCGCCCAACUGACGCUCAGGCACGAAAGCGUGGGUAUCGAACAGGAUUAGAUACCCGCGUA
This 472-nucleotide ribosomal RNA is filed under the name uncultured bacterium. RNAcentral's name for it is "bacterial SSU rRNA". It matches the Rfam family "Bacterial small subunit ribosomal RNA", at positions 328 to 792 of the family's 1533-position model. The record is from RNAcentral.